UACGUAGGGUGCAAGCGUUAAUCGGAAUUACUGGGCGUAAAGCGUGCGCAGGCGGUGAUGUAAGACAGGUGUGAAAUCCCCGGGCUUAACCUGGGAACUGCAUUUGUGACUGCAUCGCUGGAGUGCGGCAGAGGGGGAUGGAAUUCCGCGUGUAGCAGUGAAAUGCGUAGAUAUGCGGAGGAACACCGAUGGCGAAGGCAAUCCCCUGGGCCUGCACUGACGCUCAUGCACGAAAGCGUGGGGGGCAAACAGG
This 253-nucleotide ribosomal RNA is filed under the name uncultured bacterium. Its description in RNAcentral is "partial 16S ribosomal RNA". It matches the Rfam family "Bacterial small subunit ribosomal RNA", at positions 524 to 776 of the family's 1533-position model. The record is from RNAcentral.